UGGGGAAUUUUACGCAAUGGGCGAAAGCCUGACGGAGCAAUGCCGCGUGGAGGUGGAAGGCCUACGGGUCGUCAACUUCUUUUCUCGGAGAAGAAACAAUGACGGUAUCUGAGGAAUAAGCAUCGGCUAACUCUGUGCCAG
This 141-nucleotide ribosomal RNA is filed under the name uncultured bacterium. Its description in RNAcentral is "partial 16S rRNA". It matches the Rfam family "Bacterial small subunit ribosomal RNA", at positions 355 to 511 of the family's 1533-position model. The record is from RNAcentral.